UACGGAGGGUGCAAGCGUUAUCCGGAUUCACUGGGUUUAAAGGGUGCGUAGGUGGCGUGGUAAGUCAGAUGUGAAAUCCCCAGGCUCAACUUGGGAACUGCAUCCGAUACUGGAUGGCUUGAAUUCGGGAGAGGGAUGCAGAAUUCCAGGUGUAGCGGUGAAAUGCGUAGAUAUCUGGAGGAAUACCGGUGGCGAAGGCGGCAUCCUGGACCGACAUUGACGCUGAGGAGCGAAAGCUAGGGGAGCAAACGGG
Molecule: ribosomal RNA, 253 nt
Filed under: uncultured bacterium
Lineage: Bacteria
Description: partial 16S ribosomal RNA
Rfam family: Bacterial small subunit ribosomal RNA
Source: RNAcentral